AGCGAACGCUGGCGGCAGGCUUAACACAUGCGAGUCGAGCGGGCACUUUCGGGUGUCCGCGGCGGACGGGUGCGUAACGCGUGGGAACGUGCCCUCUGGUUCGGAAUAACUCAGGGAAACUUGAGCUAAUACCGGAUACGCCCUUUUGGGGAAAGGCUUGCUGCCGGAGGAUCGGCCCGCGUCUGAUUAGCUAGUUGGUGAGGUAACGGCUCACCAAGGCGACGAUCAGUAGCUGGUCUGAGAGGAUGAUCAGCCACACUGGGACUGAGACACGGCCCAGACUCCUACGGGAGGCAGCAGUGGGGAAUAUUGGACAAUGGGCGCAAGCCUGAUCCAGCCAUGCCGCGGGAGUGAUCAAGGCCUUAGGGUGGUAAAGCUCUUUUAGCCGGGACGAUAAGGACGGUACCGGAGGAAUAAGCCCCGGCUAACUUCGG
This 434-nucleotide ribosomal RNA is filed under the name uncultured bacterium. RNAcentral describes it as "partial 16S ribosomal RNA". It matches the Rfam family "Bacterial small subunit ribosomal RNA", at positions 28 to 506 of the family's 1533-position model. The record is from RNAcentral.